CACCUGGAUGGCACCACUGGCUGGGUUUAAUCAUUAUUUGGUGUCCAGCUUCCUUUCAUAUACUAUGACUCUUCUGUGCUUUUACAAUGUUGUGUCUACUUGAUCCACAGCAGAUGGUUAUGCAUAGUGGGGCAUUUUUGGAUUCCUGUUCAUCCCUUUCUCAAAGUCCUUUCCCAGUCAGGGGUGAAGGUGUUGAGGGGAUGAGGAAGCCCUGCAGCUGUGUGCACCCACAGGGAGGACACUGAGACAUCGCCAACCCCCUCUGGAACAUUAAGACUUCAAUGGCAGAAACUGAGCCCAUCUCUUAAUUUAGCAGAAAGAGAAACAAAUGCCACCAUUCUGACCAUCUCGAACUGGACACAGACACUGAAUGAACUGAAUCAGCUGCACUCAGGCCCCUGGGUGCUCUGGUUGGGAAGUGGCUUAAGUGGGUGUCCUGUGUCUCUUACAAACCAGGGAUCACAUGUCUGAGAUUUAGGGGGUCAGUUGUAACAACGCAUUUGGAGGUGCCCAGAAUCGUUCCUUAUGCAGAAACUCCCUGAGGAAGAACCAUGACAGGCUCCUUUAACUCAAUAAAUUGAGUUUCUUUUGGAUUCCA
Marmota monax (woodchuck) is the source of this 598-nucleotide long non-coding RNA. RefSeq lists it as uncharacterized. The transcript has 2 exons. NCBI's taxonomy places the organism in Eukaryota, Metazoa, Chordata, Mammalia, Rodentia, Sciuridae. The record is from RefSeq and is a predicted model, not a curated record.